RNAcentral lists this ribosomal RNA (240 nucleotides) under uncultured bacterium. RNAcentral describes it as "partial 16S ribosomal RNA". It matches the Rfam family "Bacterial small subunit ribosomal RNA", at positions 118 to 351 of the family's 1533-position model. The record is from RNAcentral.
UGGGUAACCUGCCCCGAUGACCGGGACAACCCGAGGAAACUCGGGCUAAUACCGGAUGUGAUGUCCACACAUAAGUGUGUCCAUCAAAGGAAGCUUCGGCCUCCACAUUGGGAUGGGCCCGCGGCCCAUUAGCUAGUUGGUGGGGUAACGGCCUACCAAGGCAACGAUGGGUAGCUGGUCUGAGAGGACGAUCAGCCACACUGGGACUGAGACACGGCCCAGACUCCGUACGGGAGGNAG